Molecule: RNA transcript, 1785 nt
Organism: Zea mays
Lineage: Eukaryota; Viridiplantae; Streptophyta; Magnoliopsida; Poales; Poaceae
Exons: 7
Source: RefSeq, a predicted model, not a curated record
UGGAACUGGAACCUGCUGCCGAACUGGAACUGGAACCUGCUGCCGGCAGGCCCAUUCUCGCAGAGGGUGUUGCUCAUGGUGGAGGAGAAGAACCCCUACGAGGUGAAGCUCGUCGACCUCGGCAACAAGCCCAAAUGGUCCGUCUCGCUCCCUCUCAACAUUCUGCAGCCUGCACGUGGUGUCUCACCAGUCACGACUGGUUUGGCAAAGUGCCACACUUCAUUUCUAGAGGUACGGUGACCUCACCUUGGUAGACCGGGAACAAGAUUCGAGAUAGGGAAAUUCUUUUCGGUUGUUUCCUUGUUUGCUUUGGAGAGUCUAAUGUGGAUGGUUUUUAGUGGAUUCAUUGGAUGCUGUAGAUUUUCCUGAUCUAACUGACUUGCAGCCUGUAACUGCACUGGGGGAAAAUCCACACAGAUUAGUCAUGAAUUCUAUACUAUUCAGCUCCCAUGUGUUAGUCCUUUUCUCAAUUGUCGCCUGCUAGAAAGAACAUACUGGAGCAUGGUGUUGGAGUGGAUAUGGGCUAACGUAAUUGGAGUGGACUCUAACAAGCACAUGGAAAAUUAGGCAAGGACUGCUAUUGUGUCUGCUGGACUCCCAUCAUCAAGCUUCACAUUCAGAAGAGGUUGUUGAAGCCUUGCCAGUAGAAGACAAUUCCAUAGAUGUGGUGAUCGGCACACAGAUCGUUCGAAUCACACCAACAUAAAUAAAGCGAGUCGUGAAGUCCAAUGGUCUCUACGUGUUCAUUGAACAUGCUGCCGCACCAGAUGAUACGUUGCUCCGCUUGGUUCAAGGUGUGCUUGAUCCCUCGCAGCAAUUUGUAGCCGACGGGUCUGAGCCUGGAUAGUGUCCGACUGUCAAAUGCCUACAUAAUUAGCCCUUAUGUUAUGGCGUAGCCUGCAAGUGAGGUAUUUCCUCUUUUGCCAUAUUUUAAAAUAGUUGCAAAUGAUGUCACGUGUCUUCCAUCAAUAAGCGGUUUGUGGAAUGUAAAGUUGUUUCAAAAGAAAAUAUUUUUUUGGUAACCAUUCCUUAAAAACUUCAUUCGUAAAACCCUUCAACAAGCCGACUAACUUGCAGCUAUAACUACAAUGGGAAAAAUCAGUUAUUCAUGAAUUAUAUACUAUUCAGUCCCCAUGUAUCCUGCUGAACUGAUCUCUCCGGUGAGCUUUUGUUGCUGAUCUGAGACAGCCAGGUGGGUUCCUCCUCAUAAGGUGUGUCAUCGGUUACACAUGGAUUUAAUAAUAUCCUACAUCAUUCUAUUAGUUCCUACUGAAUUAAAUAAAGACCACAAUGCCCAUAUGGACUCUGCUAAGGUAGAGAAGCAUGUGCGCACUACCGGUGGUGGAAGCCUGGUACUGUUAGGAAUUUGUGUUUCAGAGAAGACACGACAAAAUAUCUUUUGAAUCCUGAUGUCAACUCUACAUAAUAUGAUCCAAAAACCCGCUCCAUGAGGGAAGACCCCCCUGCCAGAUGUAGAUCCAAAAUGAUAAGUUCUACGUGCAACAACGCCUUUCACAAUGCUUCAAUAAGCUGAUAACGGAUGUCCACAGGAACUUGGAACCUAAGAAUCGUGAUAGAUUCACUCAAAACCUGAUAUCUUGCAUGAUGUAAAUACUCCAGUUGCCUUCUUUUUAGGAACCACCAUUUUGUGGGUUGAGAAAAGAAUAAAGUGUCCUUAGGUUUGCCAUGGAUUGGCUGAAGAUGGUAUUGCUGAUGCAUGUGCUGGUGAAAGCAGCUGUAAAUUUCGUAACAUGCCAUUUUAAUGUAAAUUUCAUAGCAUUUCAU